UAGGGAAUCUUCGGCAAUGGACGAAAGUCUGACCGAGCAACGCCGCGUGAGUGAAGAAGGUUUUCGGAUCGUAAAACUCUGUUGUUAGAGAAGAACAAGGACGUUAGUAACUGAACGUCCCCUGACGGUAUCUAACCAGAAAGCCACGGCUAACUACGUGCCAGCAGCCGCGGUAAUACGUAGGUGGCAAGCGUUGUCCGGAUUUAUUGGGCGUAAAGCGAGCGCAGGCGGUUUCUUAAGUCUGAUGUGAAAGCCCCCGGCUCAACCGGGGAGGGUCAUUGGAAACUGGGAGACUUGAGUGCAGAAGAGGAGAGUGGAAUUCCAUGUGUAGCGGUGAAAUGCGUAGAUAUAUGGAGGAACACCGAUGGCGAAGGCAGGUCACUGGGCCAUUACUGACGCUGAGGAGCGAAAGCAUGGGUAGCGAACAGG
This 429-nucleotide ribosomal RNA is filed under the name Chloroflexota bacterium. RNAcentral's name for it is "Chloroflexi bacterium partial 16S ribosomal RNA". It matches the Rfam family "Bacterial small subunit ribosomal RNA", at positions 355 to 776 of the family's 1533-position model. The record is from RNAcentral. Lineage: Bacteria; Bacillati; Chloroflexota.